RNAcentral lists this long non-coding RNA (1013 nucleotides) under Dasypus novemcinctus (nine-banded armadillo). RNAcentral describes it as "lncRNA (ENSDNOG00000051220.1)". The record is from RNAcentral. Lineage: Eukaryota; Metazoa; Chordata; Mammalia; Cingulata; Dasypodidae.
CCACCCACUGUCACUGAUGCUCUGGGCUCAGCUGGUUCCCCUCCCCACCUUUCAUCUUGGGGCCCACAUCUUACCCCGAACAUGUGCCCCAAGUCCACAGCUGAACAGCACUCUCUCUCCUUCCAAAUGCUGGACCCUCCCAGCUCGUGCAGGAGAUUAAACAUGCACAUUACAGGCCACACUGAGCCCUUCCGGGAUGGGGUCAAUGACCCCGGCUCUUGUGCGAUAAUUAUAUCUCCCAGGUACUUUCAGUUCCAGGGCUUCCGAGUCUUUGAUCCAGGGCAUCUCCCAGGGGAAAGCAACUUCCCAUGACCCAAGAUUUUCUUUGAGAUCAAGAAAGUGUGGCUGUGAGGUGAGAGAGUGUACCCACCUCUCCUUGGAAGAGCAAGUGGUCUCACCUUUUUUGUGUGGAUUCCACUGUGGCAGCCCUGAGACCCUCUUCUGACCAUGCCUGGACCUUGGCCAGCACUUCCUUGGUUACUGAGACCUGGAAUGCAGGCUUGGAAGAUGGACUAGGCAGGGAGAGCAGCUGCUGCUAGGUGGAGAGAGCUGUUGAGAGAUGCAUGGGAGAGCAGCCUUUCUCCCUUCAGAUACAUUUCUUCUGGAUGGAAAAAAAGAAAGAAAAAGAAAUCAAGAAAACUACAAAAAGUCAUUGAAAGAGAAACCAAGACCAAGUACUCUGCCACUAUCUGAGGAUGGUGGCUGCUUUGCAAGACCUUGGGCUUGGGAAUACAGAGACUCUCCCCCCCUCCCCAUUAUUUCAUGUUACCUUGCCACAGAGCAGUGGCACAUUGAAGAUUCAUGUUCCAAAAGCUACUAUACAGAGGAUAACUGAACUUAGAACGACAUUUGAUGGCUGUCUGGGAGCCAACCAUGAGAGCUGCGGAGGCAACCCAUCUACCUAGAGACUUCUACAGCCCGGAAACUUCCCGCCACCCCUCCUUAGCUCCCUAACAAAUCACAAGACACUUUCUAGCCUAGAUAUGGAUGAUCAGGCAUACUUAAAAGCCAAC